RNAcentral lists this ribosomal RNA (253 nucleotides) under uncultured bacterium. RNAcentral's name for it is "partial 16S ribosomal RNA". It matches the Rfam family "Bacterial small subunit ribosomal RNA", at positions 524 to 776 of the family's 1533-position model. The record is from RNAcentral.
UACGUAGGGUGCAAGCGUUAAUCGGAAUUACUGGGCGUAAAGCGUGCGCAGGCGGUUAUGCAAGACAGAUGUGAAAUCCCCGGGCUUAACCUGGGAACUGCAUUUGUGACUGCAUAGCUAGAGUACGGUAGAGGGGGAUGGAAUUCCGCGUGUAGCAGUGAAAUGCGUAGAUAUGCGGAGGAACACCGAUGGCGAAGGCAGGUCUCUGGGCUAUAACUGACGCUCAUGCACGAAAGCGUGGGGAGCAAACAGG